UACAGAGGGGGCAAGCGUUGUUCGGAAUUACUGGGCGUAAAGGGCGCGUAGGCGGCCUCCUAAGUCGAACGUGAAAUCCCUGGGCUCAACCCAGGAACUGCGUCCGAUACUGGGAGGCUUGAAUCCGGGAGAGGGAUGCGGAAUUCCAGGUGUAGCGGUGAAAUGCGUAGAUAUCAGGAGGAACACCGGUGGCGAAGGCGGGUCUCUGGGCAGUAACUGACGCUGAGGAGCGAAAGCGUGGGGAGCGAACAGG
Molecule: ribosomal RNA, 253 nt
Filed under: uncultured bacterium
Lineage: Bacteria
Description: partial 16S ribosomal RNA
Rfam family: Bacterial small subunit ribosomal RNA
Source: RNAcentral